AGUUUGAUCCUGGCUCAGGAUGAACGCUGGCGGCGUGCCUAACACAUGCAAGUCGAACGAAGGUAUUGGAACUCUUCGGAGGGAAGGUACCUUAGUGGCGGACGGGUGAGUAACGCGUGGAUAACCUGCCUCAUACAGGGGGAUAACAGUUAGAAAUGACUGCUAAUACCGCAUAAGCGCACACUAUCGCAUGAUAGAGUGUGAAAAGCCGAGACGGUAUGAGAUGGAUCCGCGUCUGAUUAGCUGGUUGGCGGGGUAACGGCCCACCAAGGCGACGAUCAGUAGCCGACCUGAGAGGGUGACCGGCCACAUUGGGACUGAGACACGGCCCAAACUCCUACGGGAGGCAGCAGUGGGGGAUAUUGCACAAUGGGGGAAACCCUGAUGCAGCGACGCCGCGUGAGUGAAGAAGUAUUUCGGUAUGUAAAGCUCUAUCAGCAGGGAAGAAGAUGACGGUACCUGCAGAAGAAGCCCCGGCUAACUACGUGCC
This 490-nucleotide ribosomal RNA is filed under the name uncultured organism. RNAcentral's name for it is "SSU rRNA". It matches the Rfam family "Bacterial small subunit ribosomal RNA", at positions 10 to 509 of the family's 1533-position model. The record is from RNAcentral.